Long non-coding RNA from Triticum aestivum (bread wheat), 1969 nucleotides. RefSeq lists it as uncharacterized. NCBI's taxonomy places the organism in Eukaryota, Viridiplantae, Streptophyta, Magnoliopsida, Poales, Poaceae. The record is from RefSeq and is a predicted model, not a curated record. The transcript has 4 exons.
UCCAAGAUGCGUUCCCCAAUUUGGAACGAAAUAGAAACGCGGACAGACUAGGGCUUCCAGCUCCGGUGGCGGACCUCGCCGUGUGCUCCGCUGCGACGCCGGGCGAACGAGCUCGACACGGUACAGCCGUCCAGCUCGCGCCCCUCUCCCACUCCACCGGACCCGACCCAACCCGGCGCCAGCUCCGCCAUCCAUCGACGCUGGGGAAGAAAAGUCAGAUCUUCAGGGCCAGCUGAAGGAGACGGUUCUUUAGUCUCCUUUAUGUAUACUGUAGAUUGCUGACAGGCCUAGCUGAAGCAACAAAAGCUUCAGACUUGUAUUCUUGAGAAUACCAUUAUUAGGAGAAAUGUCAGCAGGAAAUCCAUUGAAACAACACCGACUCAGCAUUUGGUAAGCUACAUGUUACAGUUUCCUUUUUAUCGCUGCAAGCAAGAUUCUUUGUGUGGCCAUAUGUUGGUUUUGGAUGAUGAACAGAGCCUUUAGUAAUAGCAUUUGUUACUUUCUGUAAACUUAGCACAGGGAAAUUCAGUGACCCAAAACUGGAUCUCACAUUUAUAUACUUAUAUCAGGAGGCCCCUGAACACUUAGUCUCAUCCUCCGUGAAUGACCCAAACAACAGAACCUAUAUUACAGAAGAAACUAGGAUGAGAACAAAUGAGUAGAUCAAAAACUUGAGCACUAAAAUAGCUUGCGUGGCAUCCAAACAGCAGCUAUGUCAAGAUGUGAAUACAUUAAUUACAAGCUGAAGCAGAGGAGACUAAAGAACCGUCUCCUUCAGCUUGCCCUGUGAAAAAUGCAGUGACUGAAGUAGCUACAUCUCUCGAAAUCAAUAUAAAGGGACCGAUGGAUCAGCAGAAAAAUUGUAUAGUAACUGCUUCUAUAUGAAUUUCACGUCAGCUGUCUGGUCUGUGGAAACUCAAUUCUGGACCCUAUCUGAUCAUACACCACUAAUGAAAAAAUAGCGAUAGUAAAAUUUCAGCAACUUAUGGCCUAAUACUGUACAUAAGUUCGAACAAAUCCAUCUACCACCUGGAUGUGAAGUGCUAGUUGGGACAAGACUGGGAUUCGUCUACCUGUACAAUGUGUGCGACUUCCCUUAUUUCUGGGAGAUCCCUAUCUAUUUGUUAGCACCAGAUGCCAGAUGCCAGAUCCCUAUCUAUUCAUAACACUCUUUUCCUUAGUACAUCCAAAUGCCAGUGCAUUCAGAAAAUUUCUCUCUUCACUACUAUAGCAUGAUUUUUUUAUUGUGUUGCAUGAAAAGCUAACUCUUAGUUGCUCCUGCAUGUACUAUCUAGCAUUUUUAUCUGCACAGAGUAGAGAAUGAUGGAGUCAAUGGCAAGUAUUGCUCCAAGUGCCGGGUUAACUACAACAAUGGGACUUGAAGAUGACGCCAACAACUUUUCCAUGGUAUUUCCUUGAUAUAUUACUCAUGUUCAUAUGUCCAUGUCAUGUCAUGUCAUCCACCUGAGGUUGCAAACACAAAGGGCAGUGGAAAGAGAUUGAAGAGGGGUUCAGAGGAGGCCAUGAACAAAAGGAAGAGAGCAAGUAGCGUACAAAAAGUUCCAAAUCUGUAGAUUGUUCUAGUUAUCAGCACACUUAGCCCAUGGGAGCGGACAUCAUUCAUCUUGUGUUAAAUCAUGAUUGAAAAAUGACUUCAUUCCUGUGCUAUCCAAUGUUGGAGACUUCUGCUAACCUAGUUGAAUAUGUUGGUGCAAUAUAUGUGUACCGGCUACCUUGGGCUAUAAACCACGUUUGGGUUGCAACUCUAGUUAUGUGCUCAUGGUAGAUUUAUAUGUAUCCCUUUAUGUGUACUGUCAUGAGUACUGCUCAGAAAGCAUUCAUGAUAUUUUGUACAAAAAGGUGUGCAAGAACAUAAUAUUGUUGUACUGUUAGCUUUCAAAUACCAAGAUGGAUUUGAAAGUGGUGGAAUGCAUUUCCAAUGGAUGGUGAUUGUUGUGUUCCCUUCUUA